UCCAACUCUAAAUAUCCAAAUUAAAACCCGCCCAUUCAGUCUGCUUCACUGACACUACAAAAAAUCCAAAAAAAAAUCCAAAAGCUCAAAGCUCACGCAGAUGAGACCGUCACCGCUGGUAUUCAACUCUUUCCAAAAGCCCUCCAAUCGAUCUCUAAUUUUAACCUUUUUUUCUUCCUUCACUUUCCGUUUGGUUCACGAGAAAAACUCGAGGGAAAUAUAAAGAAUCUGAAGAAAAUGGAUCGGUACCAGAAGGUAGAGAAGCCAAAGGCUGAGACAGCUAUUAGUGAGAACGAAUUGAGGAUUACUGCUCAAUGGAGGAUGAGGAAUUACAUUUCCUAUGCUCUUUCUCUUCUCCAGGACAAAUGCACUGAUGAGGUUGUCCUGAAAGCUACGGGUAGAGCUAUCAACAAGACUGUGAUGAUUUCUGAAUUGCUCAAGAGAUGAGUUGUUGGUCUUCAUCAAAUCACAUCAAUUGGAUCUGUUGAUAUAACUGACACUUGGGAACCCUUAGAAGAAGGUCUACUUCCCCUAGAAACCAACCCGCCAUAUUUCAGUUAUCACGAUUACCCUGUCUAAGAAGGAGCUUAAUUUGUCUUCUAUCGGAUAUCAGCCCCCAAUCCCAGCUGAUCAAGUAAAGCCAUUAGCUGAAUAUGAUGACGAGCGAGGUAAUAGCAAUGGUGUAGCAGAAAAUAGCAAUGGGGGUUGGGAUGGUGGUCGACGAUAUGGUAGUAGAGGUCAAGAUCGAGGGCGCGGUUUCCGUGGGCUUGGAAGAGGUUAUGGUGGUGGAAACAUGAAAAAGGAUUCAGGUUAUUACAAUGGUUAUGGUGGAUCAGGGGGAUUGCCUGCUCAAACCCGUGGCUUGCCUCCUCUUUUUUCAUGAUCGUGCCUUCCCUUUUUAAUGGUGAGUUAAGACAUAGGACAGUGGUUCAUUCAAUCAUUGCUUCAUGGGAUUUCUUACAGGUCGUGGGCGUGGCAGGGGAAGGCCUCAUGGUCGUGGUCAAGGUGUUAGAACUGGCGGGCCAAUCCAAGCAGCUGCAUGACUGGCAGUGUCAAGCAUUUGAGAUAAAACGUAAGUUUCCAGCGUGAAAAGAUGGAUUGGAUGCCUGAUCUGCACUUAACUUUUCAUCAGAUGGAAAUUGUUUCUGUAAGCUGCAUUUUUGUAGUUAGGUAUAAUUAUUCACUUUAUCAUUAGUCAGUAGUUGUUACAGAAGUGUUACUUCGCCACAUUAGUGUUGUACAAUUCAUAACUCCUAAUUUUUUCCCCUAUAAAUAACAGAGCAGUGCAUUCAUUCGA
Hevea brasiliensis (rubber tree) is the source of this 1297-nucleotide RNA transcript. RefSeq lists it as uncharacterized. Lineage: Eukaryota; Viridiplantae; Streptophyta; Magnoliopsida; Malpighiales; Euphorbiaceae. The transcript has 8 exons. The record is from RefSeq and is a predicted model, not a curated record.